This 1088-nucleotide long non-coding RNA is filed under the name Cricetulus griseus (Chinese hamster). RNAcentral's name for it is "lncRNA (ENSCGRG00015032770.1)". The record is from RNAcentral. Lineage: Eukaryota; Metazoa; Chordata; Mammalia; Rodentia; Cricetidae.
CCGCAAAGCACGGUAUUUUUGUUUUUGAGAUGAUUCUCAACAUAGCCCUGGAUGUUGUGAAGCUCACUUCGUAGACCAGGCUGGCCUGGAACUCAGAGUCCCCUGCCCCUCGGCUGCUAGGACUAAGGCAUGCGCCACCACGCCUGCCUAAGGGCAGGGUUGUUAAUGGACUCCCGUGACCAGCCUGGCUAAGGAUGAGUCCCUGCCGCGUUCCCUGACGCCUGGGGCGGGGGCUUGCUGCCGUGCUCCGCACCGCGGUGGGGUGCACCAACGACCAUGCGCUCAGGAGGAGGCGUCGGCUCGCUCCGUUCCUGUCUGUGCACCCCACCCCUGGACAGCGGCAAAACCCAGGCCAGCCUCCUCGUGGUUCCGGCUCGCUCAGUCUGAUGCUGGUAGCGGCUCAAAGACUUGAAUCGAUGAAUAAAUGAAGUGGUUAAAGGACGGAACUGUCAUCCCAGGGGAUCCCUAACCAAGCUGACUAGGGAGACUGGCACCAUCGGCAAGCUCCGGGUUUGAUUGAGAUGCCCUACUACAAUCAAUAAGAUGGGAGAGGAAUUGAGAAUAAUUCCUGACAUCAACCUUGGACCUCCACAUGUGUAGUGAGAGAUUCACCCUGCCUCACCUGUGGUGCUGACCACACCUGUUUGGGCAUGAUCACAGGUGAGCAAGUGGUAUUUGGUCUGGGAUCCUGGACAGGUUUGCUCUCUCUUGGUUCCGGUCAGGUCAUAGUGAGCAGCCUGGGUGUGGCUCCUCGGAGCAGGAACUUGCGGAUCAUCAGUUUCUUAUGUAACUGACUUCUCCCCAAAUAAAUUUAACCUAUAUUUAGCCAAGUCCUGUGUAUCUUAAUCUGUGCAUCCACACACAUGCACUUGUACACAGGUGCACACACAUCCAUUCAUGUGUGCUCAAACACAUGUAAACAUGCACACCACAUACACAUGAAAACGGGGAAAAUACAAUGGGAAAACAGAAAUGCCAGUUAUCCUAGAAAGUGUGCCAGGCUGUCACACGUGACUUUCACUUCCAUUUUCCCCAUAUGCUACUGAACAUAUUUUCAUAUGUUUUUAUCCAUUUGAAAAGCAGUGGAG